CGCGGCCUAUCAGCUUGUUGGAGAGGUAACGGCUCACCAAGGCAUCGACGGGUAGCUGGUCUGAGAGGAUGAUCAGCCACACUGGGACUGAGGCACGGCCCAGACUCCUACGGGAGGCAGCAGUGGGGAAUCUUGCACAAUGGGCGAAAGCCUGAUGCAGCAACGCCGCGUGCGGGAAGAAGGCCCUAGGGUUGUAAACCGCUUUCAGCAGGGAAGAAAAUGACGGUACCUGCAGAAGAAGGUGCGGCCAACUACGUGCCAGCAGCCGCGGUGACACGCAGGCACCAAGCGUUAUCCGGAUUUAUUGGGCGUAAAGAGCUCGUAGGCGGUUCGGUAAGUCGGGUGUGAAAACUCUGGGCUCAACCCAGAGACGCCAUCCGAUACUGCGGUGACUUGAGUUCGGUAGAGGAGUGUGGAAUUCCUGGUGUAGCGGUGAAAUGCGCAGAUAUCAGGAGGAACACCAACAGCGAAGGCAGCACUCUGGGCCGAUACUGACACUGAGGAGCGAAAGCAUGGGGAGCAAACAGGAUUAGAUACCCUGGUAGUCCAUGCCGUAAACGUUGGGCACUAGGUGUGGGGAUUUAUCAACGAUCUCCGCGCCGUCGCUAACGCAUUAAGUGCCCCGCCUGGGGAGUACGG
RNAcentral lists this ribosomal RNA (639 nucleotides) under uncultured actinomycete. RNAcentral describes it as "bacterial SSU rRNA". It matches the Rfam family "Bacterial small subunit ribosomal RNA", at positions 232 to 885 of the family's 1533-position model. The record is from RNAcentral. Lineage: Bacteria; Bacillati; Actinomycetota; Actinomycetes; Actinomycetales.